This 723-nucleotide ribosomal RNA is filed under the name Cortinarius sp. DBB61006. RNAcentral describes it as "eukaryotic LSU rRNA". The stretch from base 251 to 404 matches the Rfam family "5.8S ribosomal RNA". Lineage: Eukaryota; Fungi; Basidiomycota; Agaricomycetes; Agaricales; Cortinariaceae. The record is from RNAcentral.
AAGGAUCAUUAUUGAAAUAAACCUGAUGAGUUGCUGCUGGCUCUCUAGGGAGCAUGUGCACACUUGUCAUCUUUAUAUCUCCACCUGUGCACCUUUUGUAGAUCUGGAUAUCUCUCUGAGCGCUUAGCAACUCAGGUUUGAGGAUUGACUUUAUUGUCUCUCCUUACAUUUCCAGACCUAUGUUUCUUUAUAUACCCCAAUGUAUGUCAUAGAAUGUAAUUAAUGGGCCUUUGUGCCUAUAAAUCUAUACAACUUUCAGCAACGGAUCUCUUGGCUCUCGCAUCGAUGAAGAACGCAGCGAAAUGCGAUAAGUAAUGUGAAUUGCAGAAUUCAGUGAAUCAUCGAAUCUUUGAACGCACCUUGCGCUCCUUGGUAUUCUGAGGAGCAUGCCUGUUUGAGUGUCAUUAAUAUAUAUCAACCUCUACAACUUUUGUUUGUUGAGUUGUUGGAUGUGGGGGCUCUUGCUGGCUUCUCUGAGGUCAGCUCCCCUGAAAUACAUUAGCGGAACGAUCCCCGUUCAUUGGUGUGAUAACUAUCUACGCUAUUGAYGUGAAGUAGUUUGGCUUAUAACAGUCCAUUGACUUGGACAAAUUUUCAUUAAUGUGACCUCAAAUCAGGUAGGACUACCCGCUGAACUUAAGCAUAUCAAUAAGCGGAGGAAAAGAAACUAACAAGGAUUCCCCUAGUAACUGCGAGUGAAGCGGGAAAAGCUCAAAUUUAAAA